RNAcentral lists this non-coding RNA (23 nucleotides) under Arabidopsis thaliana (thale cress). Lineage: Eukaryota; Viridiplantae; Streptophyta; Magnoliopsida; Brassicales; Brassicaceae. The record is from RNAcentral.
GAAUAGGAGACAGUACGGUGGUC